Molecule: ribosomal RNA, 234 nt
Filed under: uncultured bacterium
Lineage: Bacteria
Description: partial 16S ribosomal RNA
Rfam family: Bacterial small subunit ribosomal RNA
Source: RNAcentral
GAUCAUGGCUCAGGACGAACGCUGGCGGCGCGCCUAACACAUGCAAGUCGAACGGGACUGCGAGAAGCUUGCUUUUUGCAGUCCAGUGGCGGACGGGUGAGUAACACGUGAGCAACCUGCCUCUAAGUGGGGAAUAACGGCUGGAAACGGUCGCUAAUACCGCAUAAUAUAGCGGGGUCGCAUGACCUUGCUAUCAAAGAUUUAUCGCUUAGAGAUGGGCUCGCGUCCGAUUAG